UACAGAGGGGGCAAGCGUUGUUCGGAAUUACUGGGCGUAAAGGGCGCGUAGGCGGCCUGUUAAGUCGAACGUGAAAUCCCCGGGCUCAACCCGGGAACUGCGUCCGAUACUGGCAGGCUUGAAUCCGGGAGAGGGAUGCGGAAUUCCAGGUGUAGCGGUGAAAUGCGUAGAUAUUUGGAGGAACACCGGUGGCGAAGGCGGCAUCCUGGACCGGCAUUGACGCUGAGGCGCGAAAGCCAGGGGAGCAAACGGG
Molecule: ribosomal RNA, 253 nt
Filed under: uncultured bacterium
Lineage: Bacteria
Description: partial 16S ribosomal RNA
Rfam family: Bacterial small subunit ribosomal RNA
Source: RNAcentral